Molecule: ribosomal RNA, 497 nt
Filed under: uncultured Robinsoniella sp.
Lineage: Bacteria; Bacillati; Bacillota; Clostridia; Lachnospirales; Lachnospiraceae
Description: partial 16S ribosomal RNA
Source: RNAcentral
CACGUAGUUAGCCGGGGCUUCUUGGUCAGGUACCGUCAUUUUCUUCCCUGCUGAUAGAAGUUUACGUAUCGAAAUACUUCGUCCUUCACGCGGCGUCGCUGCAUCAGGGUUUCCCCCAUUGUGCAAUAUUCCCCACUGCUGCCUCCCGUAGGAGUUUGGGCCGUGUCUCAGUCCCAAUGUGGCCGGUCGCCCUCUCAGGCCGGCUACUGAUCGUCGCCUUGGUGAGCCGUUACCUCGCCAACCAGCUAAUCAGACGCGGGUCCAUCCCAUACCGUCUCGGCUUUCCCCUCCCGGCCAUGCGGCCAAGAGGAAUCAUGCGGUAUUAGCGGCCGUUUCCGGCCGUUGUCCCCCUGUAUGGGGCAGGUUGCCCACGCGUUACUCACCCGUCCGCCGCUCAGUCGCGACCCUUCCUCCCGAAGGAUUCCGGGGCGCGCUUCGCUCGACUUGCAUGUGUUAGGCACGCCGCCAGCGUUCAUCCUGAGCCAGGAUCAAACUCU